UGAGCAUGCGUCCAUUAGGCCUAGUUGGUAAGGUAAACGGCUUACCAAGGCUACGAUGGGUAGGGGGUCCUGAGAGGGAGAUCCCCCANACUGGUACUGAGACACGGACCAGACUCCUACGGGAGGCAGCAGUGAGGAAUAUUGGACAAUGGGCGCAAGCCUGAUCCAGCCAUGCCGCGUGCAGGAAGACGGUCCUAUGGAUUGUAAACUGCUUUUAUACAGGAAGAAACACUCCCUUGUGAGGGAACUUGACGGUACUGUAUGAAUAAGCAUCGGCUAACUCCGUG
RNAcentral lists this ribosomal RNA (287 nucleotides) under uncultured bacterium. RNAcentral describes it as "partial 16S ribosomal RNA". It matches the Rfam family "Bacterial small subunit ribosomal RNA", at positions 226 to 507 of the family's 1533-position model. The record is from RNAcentral.